Molecule: ribosomal RNA, 229 nt
Filed under: uncultured eukaryote
Lineage: Eukaryota
Description: partial 18S ribosomal RNA
Rfam family: Eukaryotic small subunit ribosomal RNA
Source: RNAcentral
UGAAAUCUCACCAGGCCCGGACACUGGAAGGAUUGACAGAUUGAUAGCUCUUUCUUGAUUCGGUGCGUGGUGGUGCAUGGCCGUUCUUAGUUGGUUGAGUGAUUUGUCUUGUUAAUUCCGAUAAAGAACGAGACUCUGUCCUGCUAAAUAGUGUCUGCUUCUCUUUCGAGCAGACAAUUCUUCUUAGAGGGACUAUAUGUGUUAAGCAUAUGGAAGUUUGAGGCAAUAA